Bactrocera neohumeralis is the source of this 2908-nucleotide long non-coding RNA. RefSeq lists it as uncharacterized. NCBI's taxonomy places the organism in Eukaryota, Metazoa, Arthropoda, Insecta, Diptera, Tephritidae. The transcript is spliced from 2 exons. The record is from RefSeq and is a predicted model, not a curated record.
UGAGUUGGAAAAUUUCUAUUUUCCUCUUUGGCGCUAUCGUCAACUCCGCUAUAGCGCCCGACCGUUGCUCGUCAGUUCGGAUGUGGCUCUCUCGCAAAUUUGUAUACACCGCAUUCCAGUGUGCUCUGGGGCUUUUCCGCUCUGGUGGCGAAAUUUGUAUGACACGCAGCUCCACACAUACAUAUUAUUUAUUUAUCUGCACAUACAUAUACAUACAUAGGUAUUUUGUGUCUAUCGCGAAAGUGCUAAAUGUGACUAAAUGCGACUGGAAGGCUGGCAAAGGAAAACGGGAGAGUAAGAACCAGCUAGAGAAUUGCUAUGGCGUCGUUUUCAUUUAGGGCGGUUGCUCAGCUUUCUCUCCGCUCUUGCUUCCAACGCUGCUAGCGGCCUUCGGAUGACAAACAAUAUGCGUGUGUAGAGCACCCACAAUCGCAAGCGUCCCUACAAAGCUGCAUUACAACGCUGCUGGCUGCAGAAGCACUUUUGAGUAAUGCGUCUCUUCACCUACAUACAUAUGUGUGUGCGUGUCAUAUCAUGAGAGUCCCCACUUUCACGGUUUGUUUAUCAACGCAAUUCGGCAAUUUCGCUCGGUUUCACUAUCUUCUCGUUUGUGUUUUAUUACUUCUGCUUCUGCCGUUUACACCUCCAUCGCGCCGUCGCGGUGAAUGUCAAAAUUGUACAGGCCUGCCCAGUUCGGAGUUUUCGUUUAUAUUUAUAUUGUUUACCUUUGCAAGGUGUGAGCUCUGUGUUGUAAACAAUUUAUAAACAAUUAACUUUUUAGAGCCAAUAAAAAGCUUUCACCAGCAGAUGCGAUCGUGAUAUACACGAAUAUUUGAAAUAUGUUUGCAUUUCGGAUUCACUUUUUUAUGAUUAUUUUUAUACCCCAAACAGGGUUAGUUUGCGGAAAGUUUGCCGGGAGUAACCGUCGGAUAACCCAUAAAAUAUACAUUAUAAUAUGUAUGUAGUAUGUAUUUAAAUGAUCAGCGUGACGAACUGAAUUGUAUUGGCUUGUUCGUCUCUCCGCCUGUAUAUACGCAAGCUGUCUCUUAGUUAUUGAAAUAUCGAUCUGAAAUCACACGUCCUUUUCUACCCAAGAAGCUGCUCAUUUGUCGGAACCUCGGAUAUCAGUCCACUAUAUCAUUUAGCCGUCAUACAAGCUGAGCGAACAAUAUCAAAUUUUUGUAAGCUCUUAAAAUAUAUUGGAAAUCGAUCAUCCACUUUCGCGGUCAGCUCCCUUUUGGGGUCGCAUGUAGAUUUGCGUUCAACAACAAGCCAACAUAACAGCAUCAACAAACACUCAUGCAACAACAGCCACCUCAACCAACAAUGAGUAUCAUCAAGCGAGAUAAUCAACAACAAAACGGACGAACAAACGAACACUGAAGGUGCAACACACGAGAAAUGCUGGCAACACGGUGAAGUGGGACCGACCACCACCGUCCCAAGAGCUAAGCACAAAAGCCCGAGCAGGUGAUUGCAUGGAUAGGCACAGGCUUAUGAACCCCGCAGUAAACAUGUUUCAGCGCUGAAGACGCACAAUUCACAUUUUGUCCGAUUUUGUCGUCUCUUUUAAAAUGACUUGAAAAAUUUAAAGGUUAUUUACUUAAAGACAUAUUGGGCAUUUUAUGAAGGCGAGCCACUCCCUAAGCAGAGGAAUUACAAUUUCUCAUCAUAUUUUUGUAUGCUUAGUAGGGUAUACAAUAUUAAGUUUGUCCAAGUCGAAGUCUUUAAGAAUUGUAUCUCAAGGCCUGUGUAAAAUUUCAUGAAGAGAGCAUUUCUCGAGAAAUCUUGCCAACCAACUUCAAAACAUAUUUUCAAGAAAAACACGUUUAAAGACGGCGCACUUAGCCUAGCUACCCUCGAGCGCACAGGUGCUCAAGACUAUAUCUCGGAAACUACUAGGUAUUAAGCAGUCAACUUGAAAAUUUAGGACAAUAUUUUAGAGAUUUUGUAGAAUUUAAUAAGACAGUAAACAAAUUUAUUUUUCGAAACCCAUGUAACCCUUUAAUACAAAUGAUCAUCGUGCCGAGCUAAGUGUCUGCCCGUCCGUCUGUAUACAUACGAACUAGUCCCUCAGUUUUUGAGACAUACAUAUGUAUAUCAUUUGUCAUUUGUCGGAACGGCCGAUGUUGGACCACCAUAGCAAAUAGCUGCCGUACAAACUGACCAAUCAAAGUUCGUGUAAGAAAUCUUUUGCAUUUGUGAAGGAUAUUAAAGCUAAUUUCCUGUUACUUCAAACUUUUACUACUGGGAUGUAUUUAGCCAAGUUAACAGACCUAAGGCAUGCCAACUGUGUGCAUCUGUAUGUGUAUAUGCACAUCCGUUCAUUUAUUUAAAAUGGUGGGUUUGACACGACACAAAUAUGUUGUUGUUGUAGUAAAGAAUAUUCAGAUCCUGCUUGGGUGAAAACGUAAAGUUAGCAGUCAUCGACAUCAUACGACAUUCCGAUUUAGUCCUGUUAAGAUCGGAACGACCCAAAGAUCCUACUGAACGCCUGUUAAACCGAAACUUAUUCUCGCAGGUUUAAGGAACCAAUGCGCAUCAUAUUCGAUCAUUGGAAUUGAUGAGAAUGUGAUAAGCUGGACUGAUGAAAUGUUGGAAUUGACUGACGAUAUCGAAAUAGUUAAGCAGAUUACAAUCAAGCUGAGACCGUAGCGUCCAAAUUGAGUGAAUAUGCAUUUCUCAAUUGAUGUAGCAACGUAGAUGACCUGUAAAGAGGCGUUUUUCAUGAAUUAUCCACCCUCCAUCAAAAAAUUGAUGAACAGCUGUGAAAAAGUGAGGUUAUAUAUUUAAUAUUGGGAUUUUCGCCGUGAUCCAACAAAAAAACAAAGCUUCAUUUUAAAUAGACAGUAUAUUUUGUUUGUUCAAAGGAUUAAAAGACAACAAUAAACAUAUUAAGUGAAUAUUA